This 467-nucleotide ribosomal RNA is filed under the name uncultured bacterium. RNAcentral's name for it is "partial 16S ribosomal RNA". It matches the Rfam family "Bacterial small subunit ribosomal RNA", at positions 28 to 506 of the family's 1533-position model. The record is from RNAcentral.
GACGAACGCUGGCGGCGUGCUUAACACAUGCAAGUCGAACGGAAAGGCCCUGCUUUUGUGGGGUGCUCGAGUGGCGAACGGGUGAGUAACACGUGAGUAACCUGCCCUUGACUUUGGGAUAACUUCAGGAAACUGGGGCUAAUACCGGAUAGGAGCUCCUGCUGCAUGGUGGGGGUUGGAAGGUUUCGGCGGUUGGGGAUGGACUCGCGGCUUAUCAGCUUGUUGGUGGGGUAGUGGCUUACCAAGGCUUUGACGGGUAGCCGGCCUGAGAGGGUGACCGGCCACAUGGGGACUGGGAUACGGCCCGGACCCCUCCGGGGGGCAGGAGUGGGGAAUUUGGCAAAAUGGGCGGAGGCCGGAGGCGGCAACGCCGGGGGGGGGAUGACGGCCUUCGGGUUGAAAACCCCUUUCGCCUGGGACGAAGGGGGAGUGACGGUAAUGGGUAAAGAAGCACCGGCAAACUACGU